CUCAACUCCUGGGUUUAGUCUUCUAACUACUAGACUGAAUGUACAGUCUUAGAAUUAUGACUUCCUCAAAUAACAGCCCCAUAGGGACUAUGGAGAGUGAAGAUUAUUCAGUAACCCACCAUGUAAUAUAGGCCAUAUGAAUUUCAUGUUGGGUAUAUUAAGUACUUAUUGUUUUUCUCAGUAGUUAAUAAAAAAGCCAACACAAUCUUUUGCAAUACUGGUUACUCUGAAAAUGUUUUCAUUUCCUGGCCUAGGAAACCCUUGUAGAUUAAUUACUUGACUGAUAAGCAUCUGUCUUGGCAGAGCUACUUUGGUGUUUUAACAAAAAUAGGGCAUUAUAUAAUUAGGAAUAAUGAUUAAGAACCUAGAUUUUGGGAGCACACUGUCCUGGAUUCAACUCCAGCCCAGUUACUUCAUGCAUAUGUGACUACCCUUAGCCUCAAUUUACUGUAAGUGUGUCAUCAUCAAGGCUUAUUGAGAGGACAGAAUGUGAUAAUGGGUAGAAAGUCACUGGCAAAGUUAAUUAUCAAUACUAAAUUUUCCAUUAGCUAUCUGCUACUCUGUAACAAAUUACCUCAAAAUUUAGUGGCUUAAAACAGUAAACAUUAAUUAUUGUACAGUUUCUGUAAGUCCAAAAGGAGCAGAUAUAGGGGGUUUCUUGGUGGAUUUUUAAUGAGGUUGCCGUUAAGAAGUUGGCCAGGCUUGCAGGCAUCUGAAGACUUGAGUUGGGCUGGGAUAUCCACUUCCAAAUGGCACACUCACAUAGCUAUUAGCAUGAGGCCUUAGUUCCCUGCUGGGUAUGGGCAGGAGAUCUCAGGUUCUUGUCACAUGGACUGUUUAUAGAGUUGCUUGAGUGUCCUCACAACAUAGCAGCUGCUUUCUGUCAGGGCAAGUUAUCCGAACAAGAGCAAGAUGUUAGUCACAAUAUCUUUUAUGACCUAGUCUUUGAAGUCGCCCUCUACCACUUCCAUAAUACUCUGUUGCUCACAUGUCAGCCAUAUUCAGUGUGGAAGACAGUGGCUACAGAAAGAGCACAAAUAUUACAAAGCAGGAAUCAUUGGAGAUCAUCUUGGAAGCAGGCUACCACAGAUGGUAAAGACAUCUACUAA
RNAcentral lists this long non-coding RNA (1109 nucleotides) under Callithrix jacchus (white-tufted-ear marmoset). Its description in RNAcentral is "lncRNA (ENSCJAG00000075758.1)". The record is from RNAcentral. Lineage: Eukaryota; Metazoa; Chordata; Mammalia; Primates; Cebidae.